This is a long non-coding RNA of Xiphophorus hellerii (green swordtail), 1890 nucleotides long. RefSeq lists it as uncharacterized. The transcript has 2 exons. Lineage: Eukaryota; Metazoa; Chordata; Actinopteri; Cyprinodontiformes; Poeciliidae. The record is from RefSeq and is a predicted model, not a curated record.
GCAUCUAGUCUGUUGUUUCAUAGAUAUUCAAGGAAAAUGGAGAGAGAUUUGUUUAUUAGAUUAGGGUAAGGGUCCAAAACAGUCUUGAAAACAUGCUUUACCGAUUUUCUAACCCUGGAUAAUGAUGCAUUAGUUCAUUAUGAUUUGGAGGAACAGAAAUGACUUUUGAGAUAUUAGAGACGUUUUAGAUGCAAUUAAAAACUGGCCACAGAAGAGUACAGUACGUUUCUGACAAAAAAAAAAAAAAACUAAGACAUUCUCUGAUAAUGCACAGUAAUACAUUAAAAAUAAAACCUCAAAAGAUUACUGUAAAUAUAUGAACACAAUCUCAAACUUCUUGAGUUUAUGGUGGUUAUUUCUCUUUUAGCAUUACCUACAUUGGCCCUAAUGCUCUGCCAUACUUCAAUGACUUUGAAGCAUUUUUUUUAAUAGUGAUUACCGUAAUUUUUUUCAUCUUGAACUGGACUCCAGUAUUACUGAUUUCUGAGUUAAAAUGAACACAGUCAUUAAUUUCAAGCCUCUUAUUUCUGUUAAUUGUCAUGAUUUUCUACUGACAGCUAAUUAAGACGCAGCAUUUAAGAUUAGAGUAUUGGGUCAUACCAAUUACAACCGGACCACACGUUAUAUUUGUGUGCACAAACUUUGCAAGUAAAGCUAAUUCUGAUUAUGAGAUGAUAAAAUCAUUGCAACAAAUAACUAAAAAUGUAAUGUCUCCAAACUAAAGCAGUAAAAUUGCUAUCAUAACAACAAAGUUUAUAAGCUGUCAUCUUCAAAUAAAGCCGUUAUGAAAUUUUGACAACACAAUUGUUGAUAAAACUAUCUUGAGUCCUUUAUAUCGAAAGAUAAUAAAUCACAAUUGUUCUCAGCAAUUAAUCAAAUCACUCAGCCAAGGUUUCUGUAUAUAUUAUUUCUAGUUUUUUCAGGUGUUUUUGGCUUUAAUUGGGAAUUAUUCAACCGUUUACGGCGUUGUUAAAUAAAUAAGGUUGUUGGAUAAAAUCUUUUUCAUCUUGACCCGAAUUGUGGAUAAAUUGAGAACUUUGAAUACCCUCGAAAACACACACCAUAAAACCACAGGCUUGUUUUUUCAUCUUGACUUUUGAGAUAAAAGUCAGACAUCAGUGUCAGCACUUUUUGCAGAAUACACAAUUCCACAAUAUUUUGACACAGUAUUUUUUCAGCUUUAAACCCACCCACGGUGUCCAUGUGUCACUCCAGAGUAGAAAACGAAUUAAAAAGAAAUAAUGCAGAUGUUUCCUGUUAGCAUACUGUAGUUACAUUUCACAGUGGAGUCAGAGAUUCCGUUUCUCUUGUGCAUUAGAGAGCUCACCACUCUCUGUGCGCUCCUUCUAGUGCUGAGCCAGUUUGCUGACAGCCCUGUAAUUUAAAGCCCCCAUCUGCCUCAAUAUUUCUUCUUUCUUUGUUGAUCCCUUUCUCGUUUUCCACCGGUGAUCUCCCUUUUCUCUCGCCCUCUCCCAAACGCCUUGUUGUGUCAUUAGCUUUACAAGUGGAGCAGAUUAGUGUUUCUGGUUUGCAGAGGGUUCGCAUCGCUGCUUCUCCAACUCAUAAAAAGAGCUCUGCACUUUUAAUGACUGAGAACUUUAGGAUGUGACCAGAGAUUUAUUGGGCACUCGCAUUAGAUGUGCUGUCUCACCUCCUGACCUCCCGCUCUGUAUGAGUCGGUGUGUUAUUUCUUCUUCACGCGUCAUCUAAUCUCUCCCUAAAUAAAGUCUUGGUCACAAAGAAAGAUAAAACGUAGAAAUUCAGCCCAUUUAAAUCCAGCGCAUUAUACUUACUUAACUGUGCAACCCUCGUCCGUAUCACCACAAAAAAAAAAAAAAAAACGGCGCAGUAUUAAUCAGACAGGGAGAUGCGUUAUUGUCUGGGCUUUUU